UACGGAGGGAGCUAGCGUUGUUCGGAAUUACUGGGCGUAAAGCGCGCGUAGGCGGCCUUGCAAGUUAGAGGUGAAAGCCCGGAGCUCAACUCCGGAACUGCCUUUAAAACUGCAUAGCUUGAAUCCGGGAGAGGUGAGUGGAAUUCCGAGUGUAGAGGUGAAAUUCGUAGAUAUUCGGAAGAACACCAGUGGCGAAGGCGGCUCACUGGACCGGUAUUGACGCUGAGGUGCGAAAGCGUGGGGAGCGAACAGG
This 253-nucleotide ribosomal RNA is filed under the name uncultured bacterium. Its description in RNAcentral is "partial 16S ribosomal RNA". It matches the Rfam family "Bacterial small subunit ribosomal RNA", at positions 524 to 776 of the family's 1533-position model. The record is from RNAcentral.